AAAAUGAAAAGGAUUAAAUGAUAUUUAAAUACGCUCCUUUGACGAAAAUAAAAAAAAUAAAAAUGCGUAAAGCUACCCUAUAAAUAGGGAAAUCCGAAUGGAGAAAGUGAGGUGUCAAUUACAUUUUCCGUGCUCUUUCUUCUUCGUCAGUUUCCCGCCCAAGUUUAGUCCAUAGGGGAACCCUCUGGCCUCAUACAUAGAGAUUCUUUUUCAAUUUGAAUUCCUUAAGUAUAUCUUUGAUUUCCUUUUUCAUGCAUUUUCUCUCCAUUUCUUCUCUGGCUGUGAUCGUAAUCGCUCCGGAAAAUUUACCGUCUCCAUCAAUCGCGCCAAAUUCCGUCCCUCGAUUAAUUUUGGUGUACGUUCGCUUUCCGAUUCCGAAAUCCUAAUUUCUUUAGAUUUAGUGUGCAAUCGACGUUCUCGAUCACCUAAUGCCUUCAUUGCUGCCAGGAGUUUAGAGUUUCGGUCCUUUGCUUUACCACGGAGGGCUCUGCAGCGGAAAACAUCGAAGGUCCUGAGUCGUGGAAGGUCGCAGAGUUGGAUGAGGCCGUGAGACAACGGAAUUCCAUAUUAGAGGUAUUAAAUAUUCUGCCGACGGUGCUUCUCUCUCAGAUCAUUCGGUUCCUGCUGAAGUGUUUGAAGAUUCUAUCAGUCAGGUUGAUCGGUUCCUAGCGUAGCCUUUCGGAAUCCUUAAGAGUUUAGAUUUCGGUCCUUUGAUUUACCAUGGAGGGCUCUGCAGUGGAGGAUAUUGAAGGUCCUGAGUCAUGGAAGGUGGCAGAGGAUGAGGCCGUGAGACAAUGGAAUUUCAUAUGAGAGGCAUUAUAUAUUCUUUCGACGGUGCUUCUCUCUCAGAUUGUUCGAUUCCUGCUGAAAUGUUUGAAGAUUCUAUCAGUCAGGUUGAUCGGUUCCUAGCGAAGCCUUUCAGAAUCCUCAAAUGAUCGUGAAUGUCAAUUAGAUUGUAAACUGCGCCACCAUUCCCUUUUGUGCCUAUGACGUCGAAAGACUUAUAGUAGCAUCUGUCGUUGGGCAUGUCUACUACGAAGGUCCAUGGUUUCUUAUGACACACAUAUUUGCUUGAGAGCAUCGUUAUGUAUGAGUUCCUAAAUAUGUAUUCCUCGCCACUACUUGAUAAUAUGUAUUUUCCAUCACUAUUUAAGUUUAUGAGAUGCUUUGCACAUUCAAGCGUCAACAUCCCAAGGUACGAAUUCCUUUUACCACUCGUUCGGAGUUUAUUGCAUGGGUAAUGUGUCAUUGGUUUGUGUAUACAUACCUUCCUUUUCUUAUGAUUUAAAAGAUUAGAUUGCAAAAUAAAAAAAUUAGCGUAAAUUAGGCCUUUCCACCCUAUUUUGUAGAAAGGGUUAUUUCUAAGUGCAUUCAUCAUGAGCCAAUAGAACUGUCUUAGGAAAUUAUAUUUAAAGGUAAAACUUAAAAGUGGUAUCUUCAUUUUA
This is a long non-coding RNA of Cucumis sativus (cucumber), 1445 nucleotides long. RefSeq lists it as uncharacterized. Lineage: Eukaryota; Viridiplantae; Streptophyta; Magnoliopsida; Cucurbitales; Cucurbitaceae. The transcript has 4 exons. The record is from RefSeq and is a predicted model, not a curated record.